AGACUGAGUCGGGUUACAGUUUGAUGGAUGACUUGAGAGCAGGGAGUGUGUGUACUUGUCUGCAUACUUGAGGGCAUGUCACUAAAAGCCAGGACAGUUGAUUUGUGAUCUGGUUGAAGCAAUUACCGCCACGCGGGUCUGCCACGGUCUAGCUUAGAGAGUGAGGGAGGGAGACGACUCGUAGAAGAAUUCCCCGCGGGUGAGAGCGUGAUGGGGAGCGAGAGGCACACGUCUUAGAGACGGGUCUUCACGCACAUAAAUUCAUAGAUAUAUAGAAUGCAUGCGACAGUGUGAUGACAGGUGAUUGUCAUUAACUGCACUCACGUGCUGCGGUGUCUCCGUCCAAGGUAUUGAUUUACACGCACCCGCCAGGCUGGACGAACUGAUACACACGGCCAACAGGCGCACGCGCCCUGAGAAUGCUUCUAUUAGGGGAAAUAAAAUUAAAGAGGAGCGGAACGAAGAAACCAGGAGCUGUUGAGUCACUGACUGAAGGAGCGCUGAGGAGGAAGGCGUGUACUUUGCUCAGAAAUCUGCAGAUGUACUGGGAUCUCAGUGGAUAACUUCCCCAAUGUGCAUCAUCAUCAUCAUCAUCAUCCUGCUGCUGCUCCUCCGCUUAGUGUGGGACAAUGGUCUCACAGUAUACCAGGCUGAAUGAAGCCUUUGUAGAGAUGGAGAAUGCAAUAUUAAAUCUGAUUACAGACUCUGGAUGGACACAGGGAGAUGAUGGAAAUAUGGAAGACUGUUUAAAGCCAGAAUAAGCUAAAGAGAUUUGUGUAAGUUAAAGAGAGAACUGUUACACAAGGGGACAUUAUUUCUAGUUAUAAAUACUAUAAGUACAGGGGAAGUCAAAAAUAGUGCAUCGAAAGUGGAUGGAGUGAACUUUUGAACCCAGUUGGGUAGAGGUGCAAGACAAAAGCAUUAUCAAUGACAAAUUACUAAAUACAAUCUGUUGGAGUUCAACAUAAGUUAAAGGUCGUCAAGAGGAUUACAUUACAUGAAUAUGUUUCUAUUCUAUUAACACCUGAGUGUCAAAAACCCGAACAUUUUCGGCAUCAUAACAGUAAACUUUAUGGCAGUACACCUGUAUUGCAUUUUUUUUAAAUUGUACCAGUGUACUUGAUCUCCGCAGUAGCUGCCAUAUUUGUUUGCACCAACACAUCCUGCUUUUUUUCCUGAUGCAACCAUUGAAUUUUUAAGAUGAUGCAGUAUUCAGUAUCUCUGCUUCGUCUUGACAGUGCACCCAAAUGGGAUUGUUGAAUGACUUUUAUCAAAAGAACAUGGCGAGUAAAAUGCUGCUGCAGCAGCCUCUGCUCUUCUGGUUUCCAGCAACAUGUUGGAACAACAAGUUCUUCCACAACAAACCCAGUAGCACAGCUCCGCGGGGCGGAGCCUCGCUUUGAGCGCACAACGUUGUCGUGCCGAAACAGGCCUUCCCCAAACUACCGCCCCAAACUAUUCACAGUCAUUAACCAUCUAAGUUGAAAAGAGAACCGGAAGAGAGGCACCCAGGAGGAACACACGCUACAUGUGUCCAUUCCACCACGGGCGUUUUGUUUUGUCAACGUGAACUCUACACAGCUCCUGUGCUUUUGUGACAGAUUAUUUACAGUGUAUUCAACACAAUAAGCUUUAAAGGGAUCCGCGAGAGCAUUCAGGGAGUCAAAGAGAAGGUUCAAUGAGGGAGAGCAUGAAAGGAAAGCUAAUACUUGGAGUCACAUCAGUGUUCCAGACCGAUGCCCAGCCAACACACACCGGUCAAAUCAACCGAGUUGUGCCGUGGUGUCGCUUGAUUGGUGGCAGAGGACCAUCGUUUGGUGAAGGAAGCUGUGAAGAAACGCAGCCACGUUAGCUGCUGCCCACCACUAGAAGCGCUGCACGCUGACAGAAGAUCAUCACGGUAACCACGGGCGUGACGUGUUGUCACGGCGGCUGCAAAGGCGGGAGCAGGAGUGACGUUGCAGGAGCACGUGGUGGCCGGUCUGCUAACACUGCGCUGCCACUACCGUCCGUCUCCUCCACAAAUCACAGCUACUGUACUGCACUGAUGAUAUGUAACACAUGUGUGCUAUGUGCUCUACUGCUCGUCCAUCCAUCCGUCCAUCCAUGCAGCCAGGCUCCAUGUCUGACAUUGACUCACUGAUCACCCGACAGGCAAAAUAUCCCACGGACGUGCCAGCAAAAGUAGUACGCACAGACAUUCCUUCUGCUCCUCGUCCUGAAAUGUGCAUUCGCUGUGAAAGAGAGAACUCGGCGGACUGAGCAUUAGACGUCAAUUCAAUGUUUGAAUCCGGCUGUCUUCUGUGAUUUGGCUCACACGAAGAGUAGAUUUUCACGUGGUGCUUUUCCAGAAAAAACACAUCCGCUCACAUGGAAAUGAUUGAGGUUUCCUCUUGCACAGCUACUGGGUCUGGGCUAAACUCAAGCAGCAUACUCAAGUAAAACAUUGAGCACUAACUGUGGGGACCUGAGAGUGGCGCUAAAGACCUUUACAAGAACGAUCUGCGGAGGGGUCAGUGUAUCAGAUGCAAUUCCUUCUCCAUGUUGACAUGAUUUACUUUUAUUGACUUUAGUUUGACCGCAGUUCCAGUUAAAAUAGGACCUUUAAGAUGCCGGUUGACUCGCUUGUUGACUUGUAUGCUUUUCUUUGACUAGUCAAAGAAAGGCAUAGAAAUAAGAUUCAUGUAUGAGCUUCAGUGAUG
Gasterosteus aculeatus aculeatus (three-spined stickleback) is the source of this 2702-nucleotide long non-coding RNA. The record is from Ensembl. NCBI's taxonomy places the organism in Eukaryota, Metazoa, Chordata, Actinopteri, Perciformes, Gasterosteidae.